UUUCCGUAGGUGAACCUGCGGAAGGAUCAUUCAUAAUAGGUGUUUUAUGGCACUUUUUUAAAUCCAUAUCCACCUUGUGUGCAAUGUCAGGGUUGAUUUUUCUCUCGAGAGGAUCAACCCCAAACAUCAACUAUAUCUCAACUCUUUGUCUGAAAAAUAUUAUGAAUAAAACAAUUCAAAAUACAACUUUCAACAACGGAUCUCUUGGCUCUC
RNAcentral lists this unclassified non-coding RNA (213 nucleotides) under plant metagenome. RNAcentral describes it as "partial contains small subunit ribosomal RNA, internal transcribed spacer 1, and 5.8S ribosomal RNA". The record is from RNAcentral.